UUAAAAAUAGUUUAUAUUUAAAAUAUUAUUUUGAAAAAAUAAAGAAAAUUAAAUUUUUUUUAAA
RNAcentral lists this transfer RNA (64 nucleotides) under Matsucoccus matsumurae. RNAcentral's name for it is "tRNA-Phe". Lineage: Eukaryota; Metazoa; Arthropoda; Insecta; Hemiptera; Margarodidae. The record is from RNAcentral.